UACGUAGGGAGCGAGCGUUGUCCGGAAUUACUGGGCGUAAAGGGAGCGUAGGCGGACUUUUAAGUGAGAUGUGAAAUACCCGGGCUCAACUUGGGUGCUGCAUUUCAAACUGGAAGUCUAGAGUGCUGUAGAGGCAAGUGGAAUUCCCAGUGUAGCGGUGAAAUGCGUAGAUAUUGGGAAGAACACCGGUGGCGAAGGCGACUUGCUGGGCAGCAACUGACGCUGAGGCGCGAAAGCCAGGGGAGCAAACGGGAUUAGAUACCCCCGUAGUCCCU
This 275-nucleotide ribosomal RNA is filed under the name uncultured prokaryote. RNAcentral's name for it is "partial 16S ribosomal RNA". It matches the Rfam family "Bacterial small subunit ribosomal RNA", at positions 524 to 798 of the family's 1533-position model. The record is from RNAcentral.